RNAcentral lists this ribosomal RNA (488 nucleotides) under uncultured Propionibacterium sp. RNAcentral's name for it is "bacterial SSU rRNA". It matches the Rfam family "Bacterial small subunit ribosomal RNA", at positions 8 to 507 of the family's 1533-position model. Lineage: Bacteria; Bacillati; Actinomycetota; Actinomycetes; Propionibacteriales; Propionibacteriaceae. The record is from RNAcentral.
AGAGUUUGAUCCGUGGCUCAGGACGAACGCUGGCGGCGUGCUUAACACAUGCAAGUCGAACGGAAAGGCCCUGCUUUUGUGGGGUGCUCGAGUGGCGAACGGGUGAGUAACACGUGAGUAACCUGCCCUUGACUUUGGGAUAACUUCAGGAAACUGGGGCUAAUACCGGAUAGGAGCUCCUGCUGCAUGGUGGGGGUUGGAAAGUUUCGGCGGUUGGGGAUGGACUCGCGGCUUAUCAGCUUGUUGGUGGGGUAGUGGCUUACCAAGGCUUUGACGGGUAGCCGGCCUGAGAGGGUGACCGGCCACAUUGGGACUGAGAUACGGCCCAGACUCCUACGGGAGGCAGCAGUGGGGAAUAUUGCACAAUGGGCGGAAGCCUGAUGCAGCAACGCCGCGUGCGGGAUGCGGCCUUCGGGUUGUAAACCGCUUUCGCCUGUGACGAAGCGUGAGUGACGGUAAUGGGUAAAGAAGCACCGGCUAACUACGUG